GCUGGGCGUGGUGGCACAUGCCUGUAAUCCCAGCUACUUGGGAGGCUGAGGCAGGAGAAUUGCUUGAACCCAGGAAGCAGAGGUUGCAGUGAGCCAAGAUCGUGCCACUGCACUCCAGCCUGGGUGACAGAGCGAGACUCUGUCUCAG
Molecule: unclassified non-coding RNA, 148 nt
Organism: Pongo abelii (Sumatran orangutan)
Lineage: Eukaryota; Metazoa; Chordata; Mammalia; Primates; Hominidae
Rfam family: Metazoan signal recognition particle RNA
About the family: The signal recognition particle (SRP) is a universally conserved ribonucleoprotein. It is involved in the co-translational targeting of proteins to membranes.
Source: Ensembl